AAGUCGUAACAAGGUUUCCGUAGGUGAACCUGCGGAAGGAUCAUUAGCGUAAGAUGGAUGGGGGGGAAUGAGGUCGAAAGGCUUUAUUUCUCUCUCUCUAACAUCAUACACCAUGUGAACGAGAACGUGUCUCUGCGGCUGGAGGUGCGCCGGUGAAAGGAGGAGGGCGGAAGCUCUCUCACGCCGCGUGCCGCCAGCAUGCAUCUCGAAACCGUUGACAAUCUAACAAACCAUCACCGAUAUAAUAUAUAUAUAACCAAACACACAACUUUUAACAAUGGAUCUCUAGGCUCCU
This 295-nucleotide unclassified non-coding RNA is filed under the name fungal sp. Its description in RNAcentral is "partial internal transcribed spacer region". The stretch from base 1 to 46 matches the Rfam family "Eukaryotic small subunit ribosomal RNA", at positions 1786 to 1831 of the family's 1831-position model. The record is from RNAcentral. Lineage: Eukaryota; Fungi.